This 491-nucleotide ribosomal RNA is filed under the name uncultured bacterium. RNAcentral's name for it is "partial 16S ribosomal RNA". It matches the Rfam family "Bacterial small subunit ribosomal RNA", at positions 29 to 506 of the family's 1533-position model. The record is from RNAcentral.
AGUGAACGCUGGCGGUAGGCCUAACACAUGCAAGUCGAACGGCAGCACAGUAAGAGCUUGCUCUUACGGGUGGCGAGUGGCGGACGGGUGAGGAAUACAUCGGAAUCUACUUUUUCGUGGGGGAUAACGUAGGGAAACUUACGCUAAUACCGCAUACGACCUACGGGUGAAAGCAGGGGAUCUUCGGACCUUGCGCGAUUGAAUGAGCCGAUGUCGGAUUAGCUAGUUGGCGGGGUAAAGGCCCACCAAGGCGACGAUCCGUAGCUAGUCUGAGAGGAUGAUCAGCCACACUGGAACUGAGACACGGGCCAGACCCCUACGGGAGGCAGCAGUGGGGAAUAUUGGACAAUGGGCGCAAGCCUGAUCCAGCCAUACCGCGUGGGUGAAGAAGGCCUUCGGGUUGUAAAGCCCUUUUGUUGGGAAAGAAAAGCAGCAGGUUAAUACCCCGCUGUUCUGACGGUACCCAAAGAAUAAGCACCGGCUAACUUCGU